GACGAACGCUGGCGGCGCGCCUAACACAUGCAAGUCGAACGAGCGAGAGAGAGCUUGCUUUCUCGAGCGAGUGGCGAACGGGUGAGUAACGCGUGAGGAACCUGCCUCAAAGAGGGGGACAACAGUUGGAAACGACUGCUAAUACCGCAUAAGCCCACGGGUCGGCAUCGACCAGAGGGAAAAGGAGCAAUCCGCUUUGAGAUGGCCUCGCGUCCGAUUAGCUAGUUGGUGAGGUAACGGCCCACCAAGGCAACGAUCGGUAGCCGGACUGAGAGGUUGAACGGCCACAUUGGGACUGAGACACGGCCCAGACUCCUACGGGAGGCAGCAGUGGGGAAUAUUGCACAAUGGGGGAAACCCUGAUGCAGCGACGCCGCGUGGAGGAAGAAGGUCUUCGGAUUGUAAACUCCUGUUGUUGAGGAAGAUAAUGACGGUACUCAACAAGGAAGUGACGGCUAACUACGUGCCAGCAGCCGCGGUAAAACGUAGGUCACAAGCGUUGUCCGGAAUUACUGGGUGUAAAGGGAGCGCAGGCGGGAAGACAAGUUGGAAGUGAAAUCCAUGGGCUCAACCCAUGAACUGCUUUCAAAACUGUUUUUCUUGAGUAGUGCAGAGGUAGGCGGAAUUCCCGGUGUAGCGGUGGAAUGCGUAGAUAUCGGGAGGAACACCAGUGGCGAAGGCGGCCUACUGGGCACCAACUGACGCUGAGGCUCGAAAGUGUGGGUAGCAAACAGGAUUAGAUACCCUGGUAGUCCACACCGUAAACGAUGAUUACUAGGUGUUGGAGGAUUGACCCCUUCAGUGCCGCAGUUAACACAAUAAGUAAUCCACCUGGGGAGUACGACCGCAAGGUUGAAACUCAAAGGAAUUGACGGGGGCCCGCACAAGCAGUGGAGUAUGUGGUUUAAUUCGACGCAACGCGAAGAACCUUACCAAGUCUUGACAUCCCUUGACGAUGCUGGAAACAGUAUUUCUCUUCGGAGCAAGGAGACAGGUGGUGCAUGGUUGUCGUCAGCUCGUGUCGUGAGAUGUUGGGUUAAGUCCCGCAACGAGCGCAACCCUUAUGGUCAGUUACUACGCAAGAGGACUCUGGCCAGACUGCCGUUGACAAAACGGAGGAAGGUGGGGAUGACGUCAAAUCAUCAUGCCCUUUAUGACUUGGGCUACACACGUACUACAAUGGCGUUAAACAAAGAGAAGCAAGACCGCGAGGUGGAGCAAAACUCAGAAACAACGUCCCAGUUCGGACUGCAGGCUGCAACUCGCCUGCACGAAGUCGGAAUUGCUAGUAAUCGUGGAUCAGCAUGCCACGGUGAAUACGUUCCCGGGCCUUGCAC
This 1337-nucleotide ribosomal RNA is filed under the name uncultured bacterium. RNAcentral's name for it is "16S ribosomal RNA". It matches the Rfam family "Bacterial small subunit ribosomal RNA", at positions 28 to 1386 of the family's 1533-position model. The record is from RNAcentral.